GCCCAGCUGUAACAAAACAAUUAAAUAACAAAUUGUUCGCCAAAUAACUACGAGUAAAAACUUAAAAUUUAAAAGACUUGACGGUACUUCACAUCAACCUAGAGGAGCCUGUCUAAUAACCGAUAAUCCACGAUUAACCCAACCCUAUCUAGCCUAACAGUCUAUAUACCGCCGUCGCCAGCUUACCUUGUGAAAGAAAUAAAGUAAGCAUAAUAACACUACAUUAAUACGACAGGUCGAGGUGUAACUAAUGAUAAGGAAAUAAGAUGGGCUACAUUUUCUAACCCAGAAAACACGGAUAAGCUAUGAAAAUAAAAACUGAAGGAGGAUUUAGCAAUAAGAUGAGAACAUAAUACCCAACUGAAAUUAAUGCAAUGAAGUGCGCACACACCGCCCGUCAUCCCUGUAAAUCACAUAAAACAUAAAUAAUUACAUUAAAUUCCUUUAAAGCAGGGCAAGUCGUAACAUGGUAAGUGUACUGGAAAGUGCACUUAGAAACAAAAAGUAGCUUACGCUAAAGCACUCGACCUACAAUCGAAUAACAUUAAAUAUUAAUCUUUUUGAGCUAAAAAUAAUAUAAUACAAAUAUCUUAUAUAAUACAAAACAAACCAUUUGAUUUACUUAGUAGAGG
This 632-nucleotide ribosomal RNA is filed under the name Bungarus fasciatus (banded krait). Its description in RNAcentral is "partial 12S ribosomal RNA". The record is from RNAcentral. Lineage: Eukaryota; Metazoa; Chordata; Lepidosauria; Squamata; Elapidae.